GACGAACGCUGGCGGCGUGCUUAACACAUGCAAGUCGAACGGUAAGGCCCUUCGGGGUACACGAGUGGCGAACGGGUGAGUAACACGUGGGUGAUCUGCCCUGCACUUCGGGAUAAGCCUGGGCAACUGAGUCUAAUACCGGAUAGGACCACUGCCUGCAGGGGUGGUGGCGGACAGCUUUUGCGGUGUGGGAUGGGUCCGCGGCCUAUCAGCUUGUUGGUGAGGUGAUGGCCUACCAAGGCGACGACGGGUAGCCGGCCUGAGAGGGUGACCGGCCACACUGGGACUGAGAUACGGCCCAGACUCCUACGGGAGGCAGCAGUGGGGAAUAUUGCACAAUGGGCGCAAGCCUGAUGCAGCGACGCCGCGUGAGGGAUGACGGCCUUCGGGUUGUAAACCUCUUUCAGCAUCGACGAAGCGAAAGUGACGGUAGGUGCAGAAGAAGGACCGGCCAACUACGUGCCAGCAGCCGCGGUAA
RNAcentral lists this ribosomal RNA (478 nucleotides) under uncultured bacterium. Its description in RNAcentral is "partial 16S ribosomal RNA". It matches the Rfam family "Bacterial small subunit ribosomal RNA", at positions 28 to 523 of the family's 1533-position model. The record is from RNAcentral.